CCAGAGAAUUUAGCAGAGAUGCUUUAGUGCCUUCGGGAACUCUGAGACAGGUGCUGCAUGGCUGUCGUCAGCUCGUGUUGUGAAAUGUUGGGUUAAGUCCCGNAACGAGCGCAACCCUUAUCCUUUGUUGCCAGCACGUAAUGGUGGGAACUCAAAGGAGACUGCCGGUGAUAAACCGGAGGAAGGUGGGGAUGACGUCAAGUCAUCAUGGCCCUUACGAGUAGGGCUACACACGUGCUACAAUGGCGCAUACAAAGAGAAGCGACCUCGCGAGAGCAAGCGGACCUCAUAAAGUGCGUCGUAGUCCGGAUUGGAGUCUGCAACUCGACUCCAUGAAGUCGGAAUCGCUAGUAAUCGUAAAUCAGAAUGUUACGGUGAAUACGUUCCCGGGCCUUGUACACACCGCCCGUCACACCAUGGGAGUGGGUUGCAAAAGAAGUAGAUAGCUUAACCUUCGGGAGGGCGUUUACCACUUUGUGAUUCAUGACUGGGGUGAAGUCGUAACAAGGUAAGCGUAGUGCU
This 522-nucleotide ribosomal RNA is filed under the name uncultured bacterium. RNAcentral's name for it is "bacterial SSU rRNA". It matches the Rfam family "Bacterial small subunit ribosomal RNA", at positions 988 to 1509 of the family's 1533-position model. The record is from RNAcentral.